RNAcentral lists this ribosomal RNA (468 nucleotides) under uncultured bacterium. RNAcentral describes it as "partial 16S ribosomal RNA". It matches the Rfam family "Bacterial small subunit ribosomal RNA", at positions 28 to 507 of the family's 1533-position model. The record is from RNAcentral.
GACGAACGCUGGCGGCGUGCUUAACACAUGCAAGUCGAACGGAAAGGCCCUGCUUUUGUGGGGUGCUCGAGUGGCGAACGGGUGAGUAACACGUGAGUAGCCUGCCCUUGACUUUGGGAUAACUUCAGGAAACUGGGGCUAAUACCGGAUAGGAGCUCCUGCUGCAUGGUGGGGGUUGGAAAGUUUCGGCGGUUGGGGAUGGACUCGCGGCUUAUCAGCUUGUUGGUGGGGUAGUGGCUUACCAAGGCUUUGACGGGUAGCCGGCCUGAGAGGGUGACCGGCCACAUUGGGACUGAGAUGCGGCCCAGACUCCUACGGGAGGCAGCAGUGGGGAAUAUUGCACAAUGGGCGGAAGCCUGAUGCAGCAACGCCGCGUGCGGGAUGACGGCCUUCGGGUUGUAAACCGCUUUCGCCUGUGACGAAGCGUGAGUGACGGUAAUGGGUAAAGAAGCACCGGCUAACUACGUG